Capsicum annuum is the source of this 513-nucleotide long non-coding RNA. RefSeq lists it as uncharacterized. The transcript has 2 exons. The record is from RefSeq and is a predicted model, not a curated record. NCBI's taxonomy places the organism in Eukaryota, Viridiplantae, Streptophyta, Magnoliopsida, Solanales, Solanaceae.
UUUCUCCUUCAGACAAAAAUACAUUGUACUCUUUCUCAUCCACCUCAUCUGAAAAAUGUUUUCCCCAAUUUGGUGUCGCCGCUUUAUCCUUUUUCUUCUCUAGGUGAUUCGGAAGCUCUAUCCUUGUAAGUCGGUGCUCAUAUCAGCUCUAUUUAUCUCCUUUUUCUCAGGUGGUCAGGGUUUGACCCUACAAGAUCAAUGUUUCACAGUGUCGACCCACCGAUUUGUACCACAAAGUAAGGGUCUAUCCUUGUUACUUUCUUGACUUAAGAAAUCAAUAUCCAUGCCACUGACCUUCAAUCUUCUUUGUGGAUGCUGAUCUUGGAUCAUCAUGUACCAAAAUAUCAAGGCAGAUCUGGUGUCAUGUGGCAGAACGCUCCAACUACCCCUUUUGCGAUGAAGUUUUUAGAUAGCUAGGGCAUCUAGCUAGGAUUAGAACAUUUCCUUUGUUAUUGUACUAACAAACUGCUUUCUGAAUGUGCUUGAUAAUGUAUUGCACCCCCUUGAGAUUGA